This 566-nucleotide long non-coding RNA is filed under the name Pongo abelii (Sumatran orangutan). RNAcentral's name for it is "lincRNA". Lineage: Eukaryota; Metazoa; Chordata; Mammalia; Primates; Hominidae. The record is from RNAcentral.
AAAGAUGAAAGAAAGAAAGGAAGUAAGAAAGGAAGGAAGUAAGGAAGGCAAGCUACAUACCUUCCUCACAAUUUGCCCACUUGGAAAUUCCUUGUGGGCUCAAGAUCUUUACCCUAAAAUGGUUCUGUUGAAUUUUAUCCUGACAAUGUAAAUUGAUAGCUUUUUCUAAACAGUUGCAGGACAAAGGACACAACCCUAAGUCAUCCGUCUGCUCACUUGAGACAAAUGCAUAUCUGAUUGCUUCCUCUGAUGUAAAAAUGCAGAUUCACUGAGCUACAUGAAUGCAUGAGUGACUAUUAUUCCUCUACCCACCGCCCCCCUAACCCCCCAUCCCUGCCAACAUGUAAAUUGUGUAUUCAGUGAAAGGCUGAUCAAAGACAAAAAAAUAAUGCAACAAUUUUUCUCUUAUCUACCCACAACUUGAAAAAAUUUAUUCCUUUUUCCCCAAUAUCCACCCUUUCCCUUUAAAUAUUGAAGCCCUCAAAAUAAUCUUUGGAGAAAGGCACAGAUAUGUUUGCUUGGUGCACAUAUUUAACCUUGGCAAAAUAAACAUUCUAAAUUCAUUG